UAGGGAAUCUUCCGCAAUGGACGCAAGUCUGACGGAGCAACGCCGCGUGAGUGAAGAAGGAUUUCGGUUCGUAAAACUCUGUUGUUAGAGAAGAACAGCGCAUAGAGUAACUGUUAUGCGUGUGACGGUAUCUAACCAGAAAGCCACGGCUAACUACGUGCCAGCAGCCGCGGUAAUACGUAGGUGGCAAGCGUUGUCCAGAUUUAUUGGGCGUAAAGCGAGCGCAGGCGGUCAAUUAAGUCUGAUGUGAAAGCCCCCGGCUCAACCGGGGAGGGUCAUUGGAAACUGGUUGACUUGAGUGCAGAAGAGGAGAGUGGAAUUCCAUGUGUAGCGGUGAAAUGCGUAGAUAUAUGGAGGAACACCAGUGGCGAAGGCGACUCUCUGGUCUGUAACUGACGCUGAGGCUCGAAAGCGUGGGUAGCAAACAGG
This 429-nucleotide ribosomal RNA is filed under the name Bacteroidota bacterium. RNAcentral describes it as "Bacteroidetes bacterium partial 16S ribosomal RNA". It matches the Rfam family "Bacterial small subunit ribosomal RNA", at positions 355 to 776 of the family's 1533-position model. Lineage: Bacteria; Pseudomonadati; Bacteroidota. The record is from RNAcentral.